CCGCUGUGAUGACUUCUUAGGACACCUUUGGAUGAACACAUGAAAACAAACCACAUGAAUCUGAGCUGC
Micropterus dolomieu (smallmouth bass) is the source of this 69-nucleotide small nucleolar RNA. RefSeq annotates it as small nucleolar RNA SNORD58. The record is from RefSeq and is a predicted model, not a curated record. NCBI's taxonomy places the organism in Eukaryota, Metazoa, Chordata, Actinopteri, Centrarchiformes, Centrarchidae. The transcript has a single exon.